This is a long non-coding RNA of Clupea harengus (Atlantic herring), 341 nucleotides long. NCBI's taxonomy places the organism in Eukaryota, Metazoa, Chordata, Actinopteri, Clupeiformes, Clupeidae. The record is from Ensembl.
GUAUGGUGUUAUAAUGUUUCAGUAUGGUGUUAUAAUGUUUCAGUAUGGUGUUAUGAUGUUUCAGUAUGGUGUUAUAAUGUUUCAGUAUGGUGUUAUAAUGUUUCAGUAUGGUGUUAUGAUAUUUCAGUAUAGUGUUAUGAUAUUUCAGUAAGGUGUUAUGAUGUUUCAGUAUGGUGUUAUAAUGUUUCAGUAUGGUGUUAUAAUGUUUCAGUAUGGUGUUAUGUUUCAGUAUGGUGUUAUGAUGUUUCAGUAUGAACAACAGGCCCGACUCAUUAUUUCCACAUGGUUGUCUCUGCUCACCUAUGGGGAUGACGGCAGGUAGGUGGGUGUGGCUCGCAGGA